This 421-nucleotide ribosomal RNA is filed under the name uncultured bacterium. RNAcentral describes it as "bacterial SSU rRNA". It matches the Rfam family "Bacterial small subunit ribosomal RNA", at positions 355 to 773 of the family's 1533-position model. The record is from RNAcentral.
UAAGGAAUAUUGGUCAAUGGACGCAAGUCUGAACCAGCCAUGCCGCGUGGAGGAUGAAGGUCCUCUGGAUUGUAGACUUCUUUUAUUUGGGACGAAAAAAGUUUUUUCUAAAACACUUGACGGUACCAGAUGAAUAAGCACCGGCUAACUCCGUGCCAGCAGCCACGGUAAUACGGAGGGUGCAAGCGUUAUCCGGAUUUACUGGGUUUAAAGGGUGCGUAGGCGGGUAGGUAAGUCAGAGGUGAAAUCUCCGAGCUUAACUCGGAAACUGCCUUUGAUACUAUCUAUCUUGAAUAUUGUGGAGGUAAGCGGAAUAUGUCAUGUAGCGGUGAAAUGCUUAGAUAUGACAUAGAACACCUAUUGCGAAGGCAGCUUACUACGCAUAUAUUGACGCUGAGGCACGAAAGCGUGGGGAUCAAAC